RNAcentral lists this ribosomal RNA (375 nucleotides) under Mesalina adramitana. RNAcentral describes it as "partial 16S ribosomal RNA". It matches the Rfam family "Bacterial large subunit ribosomal RNA", at positions 1986 to 2570 of the family's 2925-position model. Lineage: Eukaryota; Metazoa; Chordata; Lepidosauria; Squamata; Lacertidae. The record is from RNAcentral.
ACUANUAUGAACGGCUAAAUGAGGAUCACACUGUCUCUUGUAACUGACCAAUGAAACUGAUCUUGUAGUUCAAAAGCUACAAUAAAAACACCAGACGAGAAGACCCUGUGGAGCUUCAAACCAAAACCAAACUAAUGGCCCAUUGGUUUUUAGUUGGGGCAACUUCGGAGAAUAAACUAACCUCCGAAAAUAUAAGCUAAGACAAACAAGUCAAAACAACUUCCUUGACCCAAUAGACAACUUAAACUAUUUGACCAAUGAACCAAGUUACCCCAGGGAUAACAGCGCUAUCCCCUUUUAGAGUCCCUAUCGACAAGGGGGCUUACGACCUCGAUGUUGGAUCAGGACACCCCAAUAAUGCAGCCGUUAUUAAAG